This 824-nucleotide ribosomal RNA is filed under the name uncultured bacterium. RNAcentral's name for it is "bacterial SSU rRNA". It matches the Rfam family "Bacterial small subunit ribosomal RNA", at positions 8 to 807 of the family's 1533-position model. The record is from RNAcentral.
AGAGUUUGAUCCUGGCUCAGAACGAACGCUGGCGGCGUGCCUAACACAUGCAAGUCGUACGAGAAAAUCCGCUUCGGCGGGUGAGUAAAGUGGCGCACGGGUGAGUAACGCGUGGAUAAUCUGCCUUUAAGCGGGGAAUAACUUACCGAAAGGUGGGCUAAUACCCCAUAAAGCUAUGGAGCUCCGGUUUUCAUAGCCAAAGAGAGCCUCUGCAUGCAAGCCCUCACUUAGAGAUGAGUCCGCGUACCAUUAGCUAGUUGGUGGGGUAAUGGCCUACCAAGGCGACGAUGGUUAGCUGGUCUGAGAGGAUGAUCAGCCACACUGGAACUGAGACACGGUCCAGACUCCUACGGGAGGCAGCAGUGAGGAAUAUUGCGCAAUGGGGGCAACCCUGACGCAGCAACGCCGCGUGAGUGAGGAAGGUUUUCGGAUCGUAAAGCUCUGUCGGGUGGGAAGAAAUGUAUGGAGGUUAACAGCCUUUGUACUUGACGGUACCGCCAAAGGAAGCACCGGCUAACUCCGUGCCAGCAGCCGCGGUAAUACGGGGGGUGCUAGCGUUGUUCGGAAUCAUUGGGCGUAAAGAGCGUGUAGGCGGCUAGGCAAGUCAGAUGUGAAAUCCCUGGGCUUAACCCAGGACGUGCAUUUGAAACUGCUUGGCUUGAGUAGGGAAGAGGGAAGUGGAAUUCCUGGUGUAGAGGUGAAAUUCGUAGAUAUCGGGAGGAACACCAGUGGCGAAGGCGGUUUCCUGGCCUGAUACUGACGCUGAGGCGCGAAAGCGUGGGGAGCAAACAGGAUUGGAUACCCUGGUAGUCCACGCUGUAAAC